RNAcentral lists this ribosomal RNA (586 nucleotides) under uncultured bacterium. Its description in RNAcentral is "partial 16S ribosomal RNA". It matches the Rfam family "Bacterial small subunit ribosomal RNA", at positions 355 to 1375 of the family's 1533-position model. The record is from RNAcentral.
UGGGGAAUUUUGGACAAUGGGCGAAAGCCUGAUCCAGCAAUGCCGCGUGUGUGAAGAAGGCCUUCGGGUUGUAAAGCACUUUUGUCCGGAAAGAAAUCCUUGGCUCUAAUACAGUCGGGGGAUGACGGUACCGGAAGAAUAAGCACCGGCUAACUACGUGCCAGCAGCCGCGGUAAUACGUAGGGUGCAAGCGUUAAUCGGAAUUACUGGGCGUAAAGCGUGCGCAGGCGGUUUGCUAAGACCGAUGUGAAAUCCCCGGGCUCAACCUGGGAACUGCAUUGGUGACUGGCAGGCUAGAGUAUGGCAGAGGGGGGUAGAAUUCCACGUGUAGCAGUGAAAUGCGUAGAGAUGUGGAGGAAUACCGAUGGCGAAGGCAGCCCCCUGGGCCAAUACUGACGCUCACGCACGAAAGCGUGGGGAGCAAACAGGAUUAGAUACCCUGGUAGUCCACGCCCUAAACGAUGUCAACUAGUUGUUGGGGAUUCAUUUUCCUUAGUAACGUAGCUAACGCGUGAAGUUGACCGCCUGGGGAGUACGGUCGCAAGAUUAAAACUCAAAGGAAUUGACGGGGUCAUAGCUGUUUCCU